RNAcentral lists this long non-coding RNA (1098 nucleotides) under Linum usitatissimum (flax). RNAcentral describes it as "long non-coding RNA (LUSI_LNC003100)". The record is from RNAcentral. Lineage: Eukaryota; Viridiplantae; Streptophyta; Magnoliopsida; Malpighiales; Linaceae.
AUUUGCAAUAUUUUGGUUAAAGAUAACCAAAUAGGGAAUAUUAUAUAUAUAUAUUAUAAAGCACCAGUGACAUUAAUAUUAAUAUUAUUAUACAACUGCAUGAUGUGCCAUUUUAUUGGUCGAUCCCAACAUCUACAUUAAUUAGAACUGAAACACAAAAACACUAACAGCUGCCAUCUGUUGAUCAUGAAACGCAGUUGUCUCGCGAAGAACAUGCAUGCAUUAUGCAUAGCAGCAAGUCAAACUGAAAGUACGUAAUAGGCGUAAUAAAAAUAACUAGUUCUUGAAAAUAAGCCGGUCAUGCAUGUUUAGAGCAGGUGAACUUGGAGGGUGGCGCCCUGCCACAUUGUGCGAAAGUAAACUUUAUAAGCAUUCUAAGGUCCGGGAGGAACUGAGCAGGGCCAGCUGGAGAGACUUUAAGGGCAUUGCAAAUGCAGUUGGCGGCUUCAGUAGCAUCGCUGACUGUUCUAAACACCGUGCAACAUGCACCGCUUAGCGGCGCAAAACCGCAAGCACGUAGAUUCGGGCACGUUGUUGUUGGUGGUUUGGAGUUUGGGUCAGGUGUUGGUGCUGGUGCAGGACUUGGGUUCGAAGUAGUUGGUGUUGGUGCAGGGCUUGGGUUCGAAGUAGUGGGUGUUGGUGCAAGACUUGGGUUCGAAGUAGUGGGUGAUGGUGCAGGACUUGGGUUCGAAGUAGUGGGUGUUGGUGCAGGACUUGGGUUAGAAGUAGUGGGUGAUGGUGCAGGACUUGGGUUCGAAAUAGUAGGCGUUGGUGCAGGACUUGGGUUCGGAAUAGUAGUCCUUGGUGCAGGAUUUGGGUUCGGAAUAGUAGUUCUUGGUGCAGGAUUUGGGUUUGAAAUAGUAGGCGUUGGUGCAGGAUUUGGGUUCGAAAUAGUAGGUGUUGGUGCAGGAUUUGGUUUCGAAAUAGUAGGUGUUGUUGCAGGUGUUGGACUAAUUCCAAUUUUCGGCUUAGGGUUAUGGGUAUGGUUACAGUGAGAGGUCCCGGAAGCCACGGAGAAGAAGAGAAUGUUGAGUCCAAGGAUGAGAGCCAAGGUUGAGUUUGUUUUGGAAGCCAUUACAUUGCUUUAAUUUGUUUCCG